AUUCAGACAUUCAGUGAGUACAAGAAGUGGUUAGUGGAGCAGAUNNNNNNNNGGGGGGUGCUGAAGUUGCCAGAUUUGCAGAAGCUUAGCCUCAAAUGUAGCUCUUGGAUAAUGAGCAGGGUUAGCGUCAGCCGUAGGGAGAUUAAACUUAGAGAGAACAAGGUGCUCAAGUUCUGGCCGGAGGAUGUUUACAAGGUGUUUGGCAUCCCAUGCGGCCAUCGAAAUGUCAAAGGCAGGGAUGCCAAUAUCAAUCCAGAAGCUGUCGAUUUUAUAAAGACAACACUUCAGAUGAACAAGACUGGGGUUCAUAGCCUGCGGGCAGCUGAAGAUUUCUUGUUGCGCGACAUCAACGACAACUCCAGUAAGCUGGAAAAGGAUUGCUUCUAGAUUGCGUUUGUCAUUUUUGUGAUGGGACAUGUCCUUGUGCCAACCACGAAGCACAACUACACGACUAUUGAUUAUUGGGGGGCGAUUGCGAACAUUGAAGCUAUAGAUUAG
RNAcentral lists this ribosomal RNA (498 nucleotides) under Triticum aestivum (bread wheat). Its description in RNAcentral is "partial small subunit ribosomal RNA". The record is from RNAcentral. Lineage: Eukaryota; Viridiplantae; Streptophyta; Magnoliopsida; Poales; Poaceae.